CAGUAGCCGCGGUAAUACAGAGGAUGCAAGCGUUAUCCGGAAUGAUUGGGCGUAAAGCGUCUGUAGGUGGCUUUUCAAGUCCGCCGUCAAAUCCCAGGGCUCAACCCUGGACAGGCGGUGGAAACUACCAAGCUGGAGUACGGUAAGGGCAGAGGGAAUUUCCAGUGGAGCGGUGAAAUGCGUUGAGAUCGGAAAGAACACCUGUGGCGAAAGCGGCUCACUGGACCAUAACUGACGCUGAUGCACGAAGGCUAGGGGAGCAAACAGGAUUAGAUACCCCGGUAGUCCCUGUCUCUUAUAC
Molecule: ribosomal RNA, 301 nt
Filed under: uncultured bacterium
Lineage: Bacteria
Description: partial 16S ribosomal RNA
Rfam family: Bacterial small subunit ribosomal RNA
Source: RNAcentral